This 1421-nucleotide ribosomal RNA is filed under the name Lacticaseibacillus rhamnosus. RNAcentral describes it as "Lactobacillus rhamnosus 16S ribosomal RNA". It matches the Rfam family "Bacterial small subunit ribosomal RNA". The record is from RNAcentral. Lineage: Bacteria; Bacillati; Bacillota; Bacilli; Lactobacillales; Lactobacillaceae.
CUAAUACAUGCAAGUCGAACGAGUUCUGAUUAUUGAAAGGUGCUUGCAUCUUGAUUUAAUUUUGAACGAGUGGCGGACGGGUGAGUAACACGUGGGUAACCUGCCCUUAAGUGGGGGAUAACAUUUGGAAACAGAUGCUAAUACCGCAUAAAUCCAAGAACCGCAUGGUUCUUGGCUGAAAGAUGGCGUAAGCUAUCGCUUUUGGAUGGACCCGCGGCGUAUUAGCUAGUUGGUGAGGUAACGGCUCACCAAGGCAAUGAUACGUAGCCGAACUGAGAGGUUGAUCGGCCACAUUGGGACUGAGACACGGCCCAAACUCCUACGGGAGGCAGCAGUAGGGAAUCUUCCACAAUGGACGCAAGUCUGAUGGAGCAACGCCGCGUGAGUGAAGAAGGCUUUCGGGUCGUAAAACUCUGUUGUUGGAGAAGAAUGGUCGGCAGAGUAACUGUUGUCGGCGUGACGGUAUCCAACCAGAAAGCCACGGCUAACUACGUGCCAGCAGCCGCGGUAAUACGUAGGUGGCAAGCGUUAUCCGGAUUUAUUGGGCGUAAAGCGAGCGCAGGCGGUUUUUUAAGUCUGAUGUGAAAGCCCUCGGCUUAACCGAGGAAGUGCAUCGGAAACUGGGAAACUUGAGUGCAGAAGAGGACAGUGGAACUCCAUGUGUAGCGGUGAAAUGCGUAGAUAUAUGGAAGAACACCAGUGGCGAAGGCGGCUGUCUGGUCUGUAACUGACGCUGAGGCUCGAAAGCAUGGGUAGCGAACAGGAUUAGAUACCCUGGUAGUCCAUGCCGUAAACGAUGAAUGCUAGGUGUUGGAGGGUUUCCGCCCUUCAGUGCCGCAGCUAACGCAUUAAGCAUUCCGCCUGGGGAGUACGACCGCAAGGUUGAAACUCAAAGGAAUUGACGGGGGCCCGCACAAGCGGUGGAGCAUGUGGUUUAAUUCGAAGCAACGCGAAGAACCUUACCAGGUCUUGACAUCUUUUGAUCACCUGAGAGAUCAGGUUUCCCCUUCGGGGGCAAAAUGACAGGUGGUGCAUGGUUGUCGUCAGCUCGUGUCGUGAGAUGUUGGGUUAAGUCCCGCAACGAGCGCAACCCUUAUGACUAGUUGCCAGCAUUUAGUUGGGCACUCUAGUAAGACUGCCGGUGACAAACCGGAGGAAGGUGGGGAUGACGUCAAAUCAUCAUGCCCCUUAUGACCUGGGCUACACACGUGCUACAAUGGAUGGUACAACGAGUUGCGAGACCGCGAGGUCAAGCUAAUCUCUUAAAGCCAUUCUCAGUUCGGACUGUAGGCUGCAACUCGCCUACACGAAGUCGGAAUCGCUAGUAAUCGCGGAUCAGCACGCCGCGGUGAAUACGUUCCCGGGCCUUGUACACACCGCCCGUCACACCAUGAGAGUUUGUAACACCCGAAGCCGGUGGC